RNAcentral lists this ribosomal RNA (498 nucleotides) under uncultured bacterium. Its description in RNAcentral is "partial 16S ribosomal RNA". It matches the Rfam family "Bacterial small subunit ribosomal RNA", at positions 28 to 507 of the family's 1533-position model. The record is from RNAcentral.
GACGAACGCUGGCGGCGUGCCUAAUACAUGCAAGUCGAGCGGACGGAUGGGAGCUUGCUCCCAGACCGUCAGCGGCGGACGGGUGAGUAACACGUGGGCAACCUGCCUGUAAGACUGGGAUAACUCCGGGAAACCGGGGCUAAUACCGGAUAACUCUUUCCCUCACAUGAGGGAAAGCUGAAAGAUGGCAUCUCGCUAUCACUUACAGAUGGGCCCGCGGCGCAUUAGCUAGUUGGUGAGGUAACGGCUCACCAAGGCGACGAUGCGUAGCCGACCUGAGAUGGUGAUCGGCCACACUGGGACUGAGACACGGCCCAGACUCCUACGGGAGGCAGCAGUAGGGAAUCUUCCGCAAUGGACGAAAGUCUGACGGAGCAACGCCGCGUGAGUGAUGAAGGUUUUCGGAUCGUAAAACUCUGUUGUCAGGGAAGAACAAGUACCGGAGUAACUGCCGGUACCUUGACGGUACCUGACCAGAAAGCCACGGCUAACUACGUG